This 355-nucleotide ribosomal RNA is filed under the name Planctomycete enrichment culture clone 19. RNAcentral describes it as "bacterial SSU rRNA". It matches the Rfam family "Bacterial small subunit ribosomal RNA", at positions 719 to 1066 of the family's 1533-position model. The record is from RNAcentral. Lineage: Bacteria; Pseudomonadati; Planctomycetota; Planctomycetia; Planctomycetales.
AAGCGACUCUCUGGUCCGUAACUGACGCUGAGGUGCGAAAGCUAGGGGAGCAAACGGGAUUAGAUACCCCGGUAGUCCUAGCCGUAAACGAUGGGCACUCGGUAGAGGGGUUUUGAUUAUCUCUCUGCCUGAGCUAACGCGUUAAGUGCCCCGCCUGGGGAGUACGGCCGCAAGGCUAAAACUCAAAAGAAUUGACGGGGGCUCGCACAAGCGGUGGAGCAUGUGGCUUAAUUCGAUGCAACACGAAGAACCUUACCGGGGCUUGACAUGGUAGAAGUAGGAGCCCGAAAGGGUAACGAACGGUAUCCAGUCCGUCACUAUCACAGGUGUUGCAUGGCUGUCGUCAGCUCGUGUC